RNAcentral lists this non-coding RNA (102 nucleotides) under Rummeliibacillus stabekisii. RNAcentral describes it as "Guanine sequence". It matches the Rfam family "Purine riboswitch aptamer". Rfam says of the family: Riboswitches are metabolite binding domains within certain messenger RNAs that serve as precision sensors for their corresponding targets. Lineage: Bacteria; Bacillati; Bacillota; Bacilli; Caryophanales; Caryophanaceae. The record is from Rfam by way of RNAcentral.
AAAUAUUCGUAUUUUAUUCUUCGUAUAAACUUGGAAAUAAGGUCCAAAAGUCUCUACCAAACUACCGUAAAUAGUUUGACUAUGAGGAAUGACAGAAAACGA